UCAGCCCGCUUUGGGGAGUAGCCGACAUCUUUUGCAAGAUGUGCCUGUGUCAACAUACUGGGUGCCCAAUCACCCUGGUGCAGGCGGCCUUAACGGGCAGGCGAGACCAUCGACUUCACCGUGCCAUAAAGACCGGGCGCGCGGUGGCGUCAUGGUAUCUGCCCGGUCU
Molecule: small RNA, 169 nt
Filed under: Gallaecimonas xiamenensis
Lineage: Bacteria; Pseudomonadati; Pseudomonadota; Gammaproteobacteria; Enterobacterales; Gallaecimonadaceae
Description: Manganese sequence
Rfam family: Manganese Mn2+ riboswitch aptamer (yybP-ykoY)
About the family: This RNA was originally discovered in E. coli during a large scale screen and was named SraF. The family was later found to exist upstream of related families of protein genes in many bacteria, including the the yybP and ykoK genes in B. subtilis. The specific functions of these proteins are unknown, but this structured RNA element may be involved in their genetic regulation as a riboswitch.
Source: RNAcentral